UACGUAGGGGGCAAGCGUUAUCCGGAUUUACUGGGUGUAAAGGGAGCGUAGACGGCGAUGCAAGCCAGAUGUGAAAGCCCGCGGCUCAACUGCGGUAGUGCAUUUGGAACUGUAUGGCUGGAGUGCAGGAGAGGCAGGCGGAAUGUAUGGUGUAGCGGUGAAAUGCUUAGAGAUCAUACAGAACACCGAUUGCGAAGGCAGCUUACCAAGCUACUUCUGACGUUGAGGCACGAAAGCGUGGGGAGCAAACAGG
This 253-nucleotide ribosomal RNA is filed under the name uncultured bacterium. RNAcentral describes it as "partial 16S ribosomal RNA". It matches the Rfam family "Bacterial small subunit ribosomal RNA", at positions 524 to 776 of the family's 1533-position model. The record is from RNAcentral.